GACGAACGCUGGCGGCGUGCCUAAUACAUGCAAGUAGAACGCUGAAGAGAAGAGCUUGCUCUUCUUGGAUGAGUUGCGAACGGGUGAGUAACGCGUAGGUAACCUGCCUGGUAGCGGGGGAUAACUAUUGGAAACGAUAGCUAAUACCGCAUGAUAUUAAUUGUCGCAUGAUAAUUAAUUGAAAGAUGCAAUUGCAUCACUACCAGAUGGACCUGCGUUGUAUUAGCUAGUUGGUGAGGUAACGGCUCACCAAGGCGACGAUACAUAGCCGACCUGAGAGGGUGAUCGGCCACACUGGGACUGAGACACGGCCCAGACUCCUACGGGAGGCAGCAGUAGGGAAUCUUCGGCAAUGGGGGGAACCCUGACCGAGCAACGCCGCGUGAGUGAAGAAGGUUUUCGGAUCGUAAAGCUCUGUUGUAAGAGAAGAACGGGUGUGAGAGUGGAAAGUUCACACUGUGA
Molecule: ribosomal RNA, 462 nt
Filed under: Streptococcus sanguinis
Lineage: Bacteria; Bacillati; Bacillota; Bacilli; Lactobacillales; Streptococcaceae
Description: bacterial SSU rRNA
Rfam family: Bacterial small subunit ribosomal RNA
Source: RNAcentral